CCUAUAUAAUGCUACCGAAUUUCAUGUAUUGUGUAUUACAUAUCAAAUUCGACAUAAAGAAAGUUUCAUAAAAAUAAUAUAAGAACUUACUAAUCGCAUAAAGUCCAGUAUCAUGCACCAUAACCAGUAUUUCAAAUUAUGGACCACAUCACAUGAUGCGGUCGCAAUAUUGUGGUUUUUGUGACUACCACAACUGCAUCACACUGCAAUUGCAGUGUGAUAUCGAAUCAUAGUGAUGUGAUCACAACAGGCCACAAUGCAACCACAUCGGGCCGCAUCAGACCACAUCGAUGUCAAAAAUAUGUGUUUACUCACAAAAUAAUUCACACUGCAACAGCCGCAUCGUAGUGGUCGCAAUCUGCGUCGCAAUAACCGCAACUGCAUAAGUAAGAUCAUAUAGUAUCAUGUUUUUAUAUCCCAACCAAGUGCCAAAAGGAUAAGAAAUGGAAGAACUAAAUCUGGUUUUGUUAGAUACAACUCCAUGAAGAAGCUGAAAAACCAAUUAAAAUGUUUGGUAUUGGAUAGAAAACAGUUGGGGUUUGCAAAUCAAAAUAUCGAAAGCCCAAAAGGUAAGAAAAUAUUUGCAACAAAAGAGUCAUGUACCAUGAGAAGCAGAAUAAGAGUCACCACCAUGGGAAGCAGAAUAAGAUUUGGAAAACUAUACAAAAACCCAAAUAACCUAGCUUUAUGUUCAAAACAAUGGAUGUUGAAACAAAAUGGCUAAAAUGGACUGAAGUGGCAUGAUUGCAAGUUCCUCAAAGCCU
Molecule: long non-coding RNA, 764 nt
Filed under: Lupinus angustifolius (narrow-leaved blue lupine)
Lineage: Eukaryota; Viridiplantae; Streptophyta; Magnoliopsida; Fabales; Fabaceae
Description: long non-coding RNA (LANG_LNC000094)
Source: RNAcentral